This 273-nucleotide ribosomal RNA is filed under the name uncultured bacterium. Its description in RNAcentral is "partial 16S ribosomal RNA". It matches the Rfam family "Bacterial small subunit ribosomal RNA", at positions 524 to 796 of the family's 1533-position model. The record is from RNAcentral.
UACGUAGGCAGCGAGCGUUGUUCGGAGUUACUGGGCGUAAAGAGUGCGUAGGCGGUUUCGCAAGUCUGGUGUGAAAUCUCCCGGCUCAACUGGGAGGGUGCGCCGGAAACUGCGGAGCUGGAGUGUGGGAGAGGCAAGCGGAAUUCCUGGUGUAGCGGUGAAAUGCGUAGAUAUCAGGAGGAACACCUGCGGUGUAGACGGCUUGCUGGACCAUAACUGACGCUGAGGCACGAAAGCGUGGGGAGCAAACAGGAUUAGAAACCCCCGUAGUCC